This 440-nucleotide ribosomal RNA is filed under the name uncultured bacterium. RNAcentral describes it as "partial 16S ribosomal RNA". It matches the Rfam family "Bacterial small subunit ribosomal RNA", at positions 338 to 795 of the family's 1533-position model. The record is from RNAcentral.
CCUACGGGCGGCAGCAGUGGGGGAUAUUGCACAAUGGUGGAAACUCUGAUGCAGCAACGCCGCGUGAGGGACGAAGGUCUUCGGAUUGUAAACCUCUGUCCUCAGGGACGAUAAUGACGGUACCUGAGGAGGAAGCUCCGGCUAACUACGUGCCAGCAGCCGCGGUAAUACGUAGGGAGCAAGCGUUGUCCGGAUUUACUGGGUGUAAAGGGUGCGUAGGCGGCCCUGCAAGUCCGGUUUGAAAUCUAUGGGCUUAGCUCAUAGAUUGCACUUGAAAAUGGGGGGCUUGAGUGAGGUAGAGGCAGGCGGAAUUCGCGGUGUAGGGGGGAAAGGCGUAGAGAUCGGGAAGAAUACCAGUGGCGAAGGCGGGCUGCUGGGCUCUAACUGACGCUGAGGCACGAAAGCGUGGGAGGCAAACAGGAUUAGAUACCCCUGUAGCC